Molecule: ribosomal RNA, 460 nt
Filed under: uncultured crenarchaeote
Lineage: Archaea; Thermoproteati; Thermoproteota
Description: bacterial SSU rRNA
Rfam family: Archaeal small subunit ribosomal RNA
Source: RNAcentral
UCCNGGCCCUACGGGGCGCAGCAGGCGCGAAACCUCCGCAAUGCACGCAAGUGCGACGGGGGAACCCCAAGUGCCACUCUUAACGGGGUGGCUUUUCAGAAGUGUAAAAAGCUUCUGGAAUAAGGGCUGGGCAAGACCGGUGCCAGCCGCCGCGGUAACACCGGCAGCUCAAGUGGUAGCCGCUUUUAUUGGGCCUAAAGCGUCCGUAGCCGGUCUGAUAAGUCUCUGGUGAAAUCCCGCAGCUUAACUGUGGGAAUUGCUGGAGAUACUAUCAUGACUCGAGGUCGGGAGAGGCUGGAGGUACUCCCAGGGUAGGGGUGAAAUCCUGUAAUCCUGGGAGGACCACCUGUGGCGAAGGCGUCCAGCUGGAACGAACCUGACGGUGAGGGACGAAAGCCAGGGGCGCGAACCGGAUUAGAUACCCGGGUAGUCCUGGCCGUAAACGAUGUGGACUUGGUGU